UUCACUUGUGUGACAUUCUGUUGGUGAAAGCCUGGAUUCUCAGAAUGAAGAUGCAGCUCCACCUCUGGAUGGUGAACACUGAAAUCAUACUAUGGAGUGUGUGCACAUAGGGAGGGGCAGAAGAGAGGGCUGUCUCUCCCAGGAGAACCAGAAAAUGUUGGAAGAUGUUAAGAUCCCCGAUUACUUAGAGGAAAAACAACUAAAACAAGAACACUGUUUAUCACUGUCGUGGAAAUUUCCUUUUAUUCUUGACACAACUUGAUGACUUAAAGAGUGUUUUCUUCUGUGUGAAGUACGUGAGCUUUCU
This is a long non-coding RNA of Symphalangus syndactylus (siamang), 307 nucleotides long. RefSeq lists it as uncharacterized. NCBI's taxonomy places the organism in Eukaryota, Metazoa, Chordata, Mammalia, Primates, Hylobatidae. The record is from RefSeq and is a predicted model, not a curated record.